RNAcentral lists this ribosomal RNA (246 nucleotides) under uncultured bacterium. Its description in RNAcentral is "partial 16S ribosomal RNA". It matches the Rfam family "Bacterial small subunit ribosomal RNA", at positions 524 to 768 of the family's 1533-position model. The record is from RNAcentral.
CACGUAGGGCGCAAGCGUUGUCCGGAAUUAUUGGGCGUAAAGAGCUCGUAGGCGGCCUGUUGCGUCCGCUGUGAAAGCCCGGGGCUUAACCCCCGGGUCUGCAGUGGAUACGGGCAGGCUAGAGGUAGGUAGGGGAGAAUGGAAUUCCCGGUGUAGCGGUGAAAUGCGCAGAUAUCGGGAGGAACACCGGUGGCGAAGGCGGUUCUCUGGGCCUUACCUGACACUGAGGAGCGAAAGCGUGGGGAG